RNAcentral lists this long non-coding RNA (4271 nucleotides) under Xyrichtys novacula (pearly razorfish). The record is from RNAcentral. Lineage: Eukaryota; Metazoa; Chordata; Actinopteri; Labriformes; Labridae.
CAGGCACACUCUCUAAUGUUUAUGGAUCAACAUUGCCACUGGUGUCUUAUAUAGGCCACAACAUUCACGUCUGACAUGUGCACACACUCAAGUUUAUACCCCAAACAAAGAGGAGGAGCAGGAGCUUCUUAUUCAGGUAAAAUAGAAAAUAUUCACUUUGGACCAGGCAGUGUCUGGGAACAUUCACACACAGUCCUCAGCUCCUGAACCGUCAACUCAGGUAAGAACAGGUGAGGUGGAGAGAAGUAGCAGGGGAGUCAGGGUCAGGGGAGAAGGUCACCUUUAUGUGGAUGUGUUGAUUGUAAAGUUGUAAGUGUGAAAAUGUAUUUUUAAAUCCUUCCGUAUUUAAAAAUGUAUGCCUUGAAAUUGGCGGAUGUGAAUGAAAAUUGAACAGGACUGAACUGCAAAAGUUUCCUUCAUUUGUGACAGGCGUUUGGGGAUUUUGUUUGAAUUUUAUGGCGUGAUAAACACUGCACUGAUUUUUGGGUUUCUCUUGCUUUAAGUUUAACAUUUUUAUAAGAUGACAGAACAUUUUUCCAAACUGGAUCAAUGUCAGUGUAUUUUGCAGCCUCUCUGAAAGACAAACGCCUGUCUGCACUUUGCCCUUGAGUCAUGUCAUGCUGACUUUUAAGCGACAGAUAUCGGGCCUGUUUGUUAACAAGGAAAUGGCUGUGAUAGAAGAUAUGUGACAUUCAACAGUCUUUCUGUUAUCUUUGCUCCCAUUGGAUGUCAAUUCCUUUAAAAAAAAUCACAAAAAGUUCUGGAGAUAUUUCCUGAGACUCAUUAUCUCCUUUUCUGAUUUGCAAAAGUGCUUUAAAUCAUUAAAUGUGUUUUCUAUUAUGUUACACUAACUCUGCUAUUGGAUUGGGUUAGGAUGUUUGAAUGAAAGGAAUGAAAAAUGGUGAAGCUAAAGAGAGGCAGAGCCAGAGAGUGUGAAGAGCUUUAGUCAAUCUGACCUCCAAAGACACACCCAAGGGUGUCCAAGAUCAUAUAGAGGUCACAGAGGUUAAGAGAGGUUUUGCUUUUCAACUUUUUCCCUACAUUUUAGAAAACUGUAAGAAGAUGCAACUUGACAAAUGAUGAUACAAGGAGGACAAUAUAGUCAGUGAAUGUAUUAGUUUUUCCAGUGUUUUUCCAACAAGUAAUGAAACAGCCUGGGAUAAUACUGAUGUCGUAUGGACUUAAAAAAAAGACAACUGGCGCUUAAUACCCUCUUUACUACGGAGUACGACGUAAAAAAAAUUAAGCCUUCGAGAUUAAAGUCGUUAACUUAUGAGAAUAGAGUAACUACUAACAAGAUUAAAAUCAUUACAAACGAGAAUGAAGUCACAAUAAACUCAUUACUUAUGAGAAUAAAGCCGUAGUAAAGUAAUUAUUUACUAAAAUAAAUUUGAAGUAAAGUAAUUACUUAUGAGAAUAAAGUCAGAAUAAAGUCAGUGUAUUCUAACCUGUUGUUUAAGAUGACAGUUGCUGAAAUGAGAGCCUUGGAGCAUUUCGUGAAAAUGUACUUCAAUAUAGGUUUCACAAACAAGGAGAUACUUAAUCUUUCUGGCACAUCAGCACCACAUUAUCAUUAGUAUCAUAAUGAUUUUAUUACAACUUUAUUCUCGUAAGUAAUGACUUCAUUCUCGUAAAUUAAUAAUUUUGAUCUCGAAGUCCUACUUUUUUUUCUCCUUAAUGUGGCCCAAAUACUCUGUCAUACUUCUUCAGCUUAUUAUAGUUAUAAUUAAUACCUGUAACCACUAUUUUCAGGAUAUCAGGCAAAAUGAGCUAUAGCUACAUGAUGAAUAUUUAAGGUUGUUUAAGACAGCAGGGUGAGGUUUUUUUUACUUACUACUUUGGCACAUGCAGGACAAGGUCACUAAGAGAUAAGAUGUGCUGCUUUGGCUAUAGGGGGCGGCAAAAUAAACACAAACACAAAAACUCUUCUCAGACACUUUCUUAAAAAGAGUUUCAGAACUUCUGCUUUUGUUCAUUUUAAAGUUGAACAACUCAUGCUGAAAAAAAGGCUCUGAAUUUCAAUCAUAAGCAGCUCAUGCAUUCAAGCUGAAAUCCAGAGAGAUGUCAGGAAAUAUCCAUAGAUACAGUAAAGCACAUGACUUGAUGUAUUAGACUCCGAGUGGGUUUGAAAGAAAGUUGUUCGGUAACCUGCUGCGUUUUGCCCCAAGACAAAAAUGAUCCUCUGUUUACUCUCCAAACACUCAGACUGCAUCCCUGCUGACGAGGCUCUGACCUCUCACACAACAAGGACAGUCUUCAGCUGGGGAAAGGGAGGAGUGUGUGGACUUGGUGUAUAUGCAUGUGUGAGAAGCAAGAGAAAUGGGAUGGGAAGAAAUCUACACUUCUUUGUGCAUUAUUUCCUCUCACAGUCAUGCUCUUUAUCUGCUUGCUCUUCUAUCUGACUUUCAGUUUAGUUGAAGAUGGGACAUCUCACUGUUGUGGCUGUUAUGGCAGGUAAAUAAAGUUGAAAACGGAUACCCAAUGUCAUCAGUGUGCAGAAACAUAUCUGACAGCAGUAACUAAGAAAGUGGAUGGAGUUCUUACAAUUAUCUUACAUUUGAUUACACUUUGUCAUUCAAGGAAAAUCUUUUGUUUUAUUUUAUGUUACUGAACUCAAAACCCACAAAAUUAAGCAUGCUUAUAAAGGUGCAAUCCAGACAUUCCCACAUUACUUUCUGUUUAUAUGUUGAAAAUGCUGACUGUGUGGCAGAACAGGUUUUUAACAGAAAGAUUAUCACAUGAAAACACUUCUUCAUUUCUUUGUCUUACAGUUCUCUUCUCACUUUUCAUGGAAACGGAAGCAAGUAAGGCCUGAACUCUACUUUCACUAAAUCCUGCUCUAAAACUGGUUUGUUGAGAAACUGGCAUGGGACAAAAUCAAACCAAUUAACCCCGUUUGUCUGAGCAACAAUGUCCCAUUUGUGAUUCUGAUUUCAUAUGAAAGACAAUUGUAAACAAUAAUUCUGUUAUGACUGCCAGAAAAGGGUUAAAGUCUCCAAUUGUUUGAAGAUAAAGAGAGUUUUAUCACUUUUUCCCCAUCCUUUUAAUAAUUUCUCUUCUCUUAUUUCUGUCUUGCAGAUCCAUUUUAUUACAGUAAGUACACUCUUAUCUUCUUAUAAUUCUUAUAAUCUAACAUAAACAGUCUUACAUCACGCAUCUUUUACUUAUGGUUAUAAAGUGAUUCCCAGUCAGUGUUUUACAAAGAUAUUAUAUUUUUUGCAAACUGUAAAUUCUUCGUAAAAAAGCACCCUUGCAAAUAUCUAAAUGAAUCUUUAAACUGAAGUACUUUGUUUUUUUUUAUGUUUAACCUCUAAAUAUCUGUCAUUAAUGUCUUCCAGACUAUGAAAGGCUACGAAUUGGAGGCCUGGUCUGUGCCUGCUUGUUGUUUGCUGGAGGACUCACCGUUAUUCUUUGUAAGUCCUGAAACCACACAGUUAUUUGAUGAGUCAAUCUGCGGAAAAGCGUUUUUGCUUUCAUUAAGUUAAGGAUGAUGUACAUACUUUACUUGUUCACUCUCAAUCUUACUAAACACCGCAAUAAAUGAAAAAAUCUGGCCUAACUGUAUACUGAAUUGUCUGUGACAUCCUGCUUUUUUUCCACAGAUAACAGAUGCUCCAGAAAGGGAAAGUAUGUCAUUUUUUCAGUUCUUCACAAGCGUAACUGUAUUUAGUGUUUGUGUCUCUGUUUAACCUUUAACGCCUAAUGUUCUCCUCUCGCUUCAUUCCCCCCUUUCUCCCUUUGUGGUUUUUUUUCCCCCAAAUUGCCGCCUCGCCUUUCCUCUCACCUUGCAGAAAAGUGGAAGAUGACAGCAGUGAAAUCUGAUAUGGUUCCUGUCAAACCAGUUUCAGCCAAGAAGAAAAGCUGACAUGUGAGGGGUGGAGUGAUAAUUGGUUGUUUGGUGGGGGGUUUGAAGGAAACACACUCACUCAGGUGAUUUAACCUGUACAGGCAUGUGCAGAGAAUACCGUAUUUUAUGUAAAAGAAGAGCAGAUGAAAAAUGAAAAAUAAGCCCUCUUGAUGUUUUCAAAAUGUACUGUUCUGACAUGCAACUCAGCCUCCUAUACAUUUAUAUACAUACACAAUACAUAUACACUUUUACACUAGAUUUAUGUUCCACAUAUUCAGCAUAAAUAAGUCAUCAUAACAACGUUGCACAUGUCUUAGGAUGGAAUCAGUGGGAUCAUAAUGUGAUGUGUAUUGCUGUUUAUUAAACAGUAGAGUUAGAUCCUCCACGUGGUCAACCAUUUCAAUACUAACAUAAUUAGAUAGAG